GGGUGCUAACGUCCGUCGUGAAGAGGGAAACAACCCAGACCGCCAGCUAAGGUCCCAAAGUCAUGGUUAAGUGGGAAACGAUGUGGGAAGGCCCAGACAGCCAGGAUGUUGGCUUAGAAGCAGCCAUCAUUUAAAGAAAGCGUAAUAGCUCACUGGUCGAGUCGGCCUGCGCGGAAGAUGUAACGGGGCUAAACCAUGCACCGAAGCUGCGGCAGCGACACUGUGUGUUGUUGGGUAGGGGAGCGUUCUGUAAGCCUGUGAAGGUGUGCUGUGAGGCAUGCUGGAGGUAUCAGAAGUGCGAAUGCUGACAUAAGUAACGAUAAAGCGGGUGAAAAGCCCGCUCGCCGGAAGACCAAGGGUUCCUGUCCAACGUUAAUCGGGGCAGGGUGAGUCGACCCCUAAGGCGAGGCCGAAAGGCGUAGUCGAUGGGAAACAGGUUAAUAUUCCUGUACUUGGUGUUACUGCGAAGGGGGGACGGAGAAGGCUAUGUUGGCCGGGCGACGGUUGUCCCGGUUUAAGCGUGUAGGCUGGUUUUCCAGGCAAAUCCGGAAAAUCAAGGCUGAGGCGUGAUGACGAGGCACUACGGUGCUGAAGCAACAAAUGCCCUGCUUCCAGGAAAAGCCUCUAAGCAUCAGGUAACAUCAAAUCGUACCCCAAACCGACACAGGUGGUCAGGUAGAGAAUACCAAGGCGCUUGAGAGAACUCGGGUGAAGGAACUAGGCAAAAUGGUGCCGUAACUUCGGGAGAAGGCACGCUGAUAUGUAGGUGAAGUCCCUCGCGGAUGGAGCUGAAAUCAGUCGAAGAUACCAGCUGGCUGCAACUGUUUAUUAAAAACACAGCACUGUGCAAACACGAAAGUGGACGUAUACGGUGUGACGCCUGCCCGGUGCCGGAAGGUUAAUUGAUGGGGUCAGCGCAAGCGAAGCUCUUGAUCGAAGCCCCGGUAAACGGCGGCCGUAACUAUAACGGUCCUAAGGUAGCGAAAUUCCUUGUCGGGUAAGUUCCGACCUGCACGAAUGGCGUAAUGAUGGCCAGGCUGUCUCCACCCGAGACUCAGUGAAAUUGAACUCGCUGUGAAGAUGCAGUGUACCCGCGGCAAGACGGAAAGACCCCGUGAACCUUUACUAUAGCUUGACACUGAACAUUGAGCCUUGAUGUGUAGGAUAGGUGGGAGGCUUUGAAGUGUGGACGCCAGUCUGCAUGGAGCCGACCUUGAAAUACCACCCUUUAAUGUUUGAUGUUCUAACGUGGACCCGUGAUCCGGGUUGCGGACAGUGUCUGGUGGGUAGUUUGACUGGGGCGGUCUCCUCCUAAAGAGUAACGGAGGAGCACGAAGGUUGGCUAAUCCUGGUCGGACAUCAGGAGGUUAGUGCAAUGGCAUAAGCCAGCUUGACUGCGAGCGUGACGGCGCGAGCAGGUGCGAAAGCAGGUCAUAGUGAUCCGGUGGUUCUGAAUGGAAGGGCCAUCGCUCAACGGAUAAAAGGUACUCCGGGGAUAACAGGCUGAUACCGCCCAAGAGUUCAUAUCGACGGCGGUGUUUGGCACCUCGAUGUCGGCUCAUCACAUCCUGGGGCUGAAGUAGGUCCCAAGGGUAUGGCUGUUCGCCAUUUAAAGUGGUACGCGAGCUGGGUUUAGAACGUCGUGAGACAGUUCGGUCCCUAUCUGCCGUGGGCGCUGGAGAACUGAGGGGGGCUGCUCCUAGUACGAGAGGACCGGAGUGGACGCAUCACUGGUGUUCGGGUUGUCAUGCCAAUGGCACUGCCCGGUAGCUAAAUGCGGAAGAGAUAAGUGCUGAAAGCAUCUAAGCACGAAACUUGCCCCGAGAUGAGUUCUCCCUGACCCUUUAAGGGUCCUGAAGGAACGUUGAAGACGACGACGUUGAUAGGCCGGGUGUGUAAGCGCAGCGAUGCGUUGAGCUAACCGGUACUAAUGAACCGUGAGGCUUAACCUU
RNAcentral lists this ribosomal RNA (1952 nucleotides) under Escherichia coli. RNAcentral describes it as "partial 23S ribosomal RNA". It matches the Rfam family "Bacterial large subunit ribosomal RNA", at positions 993 to 2925 of the family's 2925-position model. The record is from RNAcentral. Lineage: Bacteria; Pseudomonadati; Pseudomonadota; Gammaproteobacteria; Enterobacterales; Enterobacteriaceae.